RNAcentral lists this ribosomal RNA (274 nucleotides) under uncultured bacterium. Its description in RNAcentral is "partial 16S ribosomal RNA". It matches the Rfam family "Bacterial small subunit ribosomal RNA", at positions 523 to 796 of the family's 1533-position model. The record is from RNAcentral.
AUACGGAGGAUCCAAGCGUUAUCCGGAAUCAUUGGGUUUAAAGGGUCCGUAGGCGGGUUUAUAAGUCAGUGGUGAAAGUUUGCGGCUCAACCGUAAAAUUGCCAUUGAUACUGUAGAUCUUGAAUUAGUGUGAAGUGAUUAGAAUAAGCAGUGUAGCGGUGAAAUGCAUAGAUAUUACUUAGAAUACCAAUUGCGAAGGCAGGUCACUAACACUAUAUUGACGCUGAGGGACGAAAGCGUGGGGAGCGAACAGGAUUAGAUACCCUAGUAGUCC